This 1059-nucleotide ribosomal RNA is filed under the name Salmonella enterica. RNAcentral describes it as "partial 23S ribosomal RNA". It matches the Rfam family "Bacterial large subunit ribosomal RNA", at positions 1 to 1547 of the family's 2925-position model. The record is from RNAcentral. Lineage: Bacteria; Pseudomonadati; Pseudomonadota; Gammaproteobacteria; Enterobacterales; Enterobacteriaceae.
CACUAAGCCAGUGGUGAACUCCACAUACGCAUCCUUUGCUGAGGAUACGGUUAACGGAGCGAAAGCGACGUUCAACCGCAAAAGAAGCAGAGGGGGCUUAGUGGUGGGGUGACUGCGUACCUUUUGUAUAAUGGGUCAGCGACUUAUAUUCUGUAGCAAGGUUAACCGCAUAGGGGAGCCGGAGGGAAACCGAGUCUUAAUUGGGCGUUAAGUUGCAGGGUAUAGACCCGAAACCCGGUGAUCUAGCCAUGGGCAGGUUGAAGGUUGGGUAACACUAACUGGAGGACCGAACCGACUAAUGUUGAAAAAUUAGCGGAUGACCUGUGGCUGGGGGUGAAAGGCCAAUCAAACCGGGAGAUAGCUGGUUCUCCCCGAAAGCUAUUUAGGUAGCGCCUCGUGAAUUCAUCUCCGGGGGUAGAGCACUGUUUCGGCCAGGGGGCCAUCCCGGCUUACCAAUCCGAUGCAAACUGCGAAUACCGGAGAAUGUUAUCACGGGAGACACACGGCGGGUGCUAACGUCCGUCGUGAAGAGGGAAACAACCCAGACCGCCAGCUAAGGUCCCAAAGUCAUGGUUAAGUGGGAAACGAUGUGGGAAGGCCCAGACAGCCAGGAUGUUGGCUUAGAAGCAGCCAUCAUUUAAAGAAAGCGUAAUAGCUCACUGGUCGAGUCGGCCUGCGCGGAAGAUGUAACGGGGCUAAACCAUGCACCGAAGCUGCGGCAGCGACACUGAUGUGUUGUUGGGUAGGGGAGCGUUCUGUAAGCCGUUGAAGGUGUGUCGUGAGGCAUGCUGGAGGUAUCAGAAGUGCGAAUGCUGACAUAAGUAACGAUAAAGCGGGUGAAAAGCCCGCUCGCCGGAAGACCAAGGGUUCCUGUCCAACGUUAAUCGGGGCAGGGUGAGUCGACCCCUAAGGCGAGGCCGAAAGGCGUAGUCGAUGGGAAACGGGUUAAUAUUCCCGUACUUGGUGUUACUGCGAAGGGGGGACGGAGAAGGCUAUGUUGGCCGGGCGACGGUUGUCCCGGUUUAAGCGUGUAGGUGUGUGUUCCAGGUAAAUCCGGUU